GGCCUAACACAUGCAAGUCGAGCGGUAACAUUUCAAAAGCUUGCUUUUGAAGAUGACGAGCGGCGGACGGGUGAGUAAUGCCUAGGAAAUUGCCCUGAUGUGGGGGAUAACCAUUGGAAACGAUGGCUAAUACCGCAUGAUGCUCUACGGGCCAAAGAGGGGGACCUUCGGGCCUCUCGCGUCAGGAUAUGCCUAGGUGGGAUUAGCUAGUUGGUGAGGUAAUGGCUCACCAAGGCGACGAUCCCUAGCUGGUCUGAGAGGAUGAUCAGCCACACUGGAACUGAGACACGGUCCAGACUCCUACGGGAGGCAGCAGUGGGGAAUAUUGCACAAUGGGCGCAAGCCUGAUGCAGCCAUGCCGCGUGUAUGAAGAAGGCCUUCGGGUUGUAAAGUACUUUCAGUCGUGAGGAAGGUGGUGUUGUUAAUAGCAGCAUCAUUUGACGUUAGCGACAGAAGAAGCACCGGCUAACUCCGUGCCAGCAGCCGCGGUAAUACGGAGGGUGCGAGCGUUAAUCGGAAUUACUGGGCGUAAAGCGCAUGCAGGUGGUUCGUUAAGUCAGAUGUGAAAGCCCGGGGCUCAACCUCGGAACUGCAUUUGAAACUGGCGGACCUAGAGUACUGUAGAGG
This 627-nucleotide ribosomal RNA is filed under the name Vibrio aestuarianus. RNAcentral describes it as "bacterial SSU rRNA". It matches the Rfam family "Bacterial small subunit ribosomal RNA", at positions 45 to 657 of the family's 1533-position model. Lineage: Bacteria; Pseudomonadati; Pseudomonadota; Gammaproteobacteria; Vibrionales; Vibrionaceae. The record is from RNAcentral.